Molecule: non-coding RNA, 45 nt
Filed under: Trichobilharzia regenti
Lineage: Eukaryota; Metazoa; Platyhelminthes; Trematoda; Strigeidida; Schistosomatidae
Source: RNAcentral
AUCCAGUUGUUGAGUCCCAAAUAGGACGAAAUGCGCAUCCUGGAU